RNAcentral lists this ribosomal RNA (492 nucleotides) under uncultured bacterium. RNAcentral describes it as "partial 16S ribosomal RNA". It matches the Rfam family "Bacterial small subunit ribosomal RNA", at positions 29 to 507 of the family's 1533-position model. The record is from RNAcentral.
AGUGAACGCUGGCUGUAGGCCUAACACAUGCCAGUCGAACGGCAGCACAGUAAGAGCUUGCUCUUACGGGUGGCGAGUGGCGGACGGGUGAGGAAUACAUCGGAAUCUACUUUUUCGUGGGGGAUAACGUAGGGAAACUUACGCUAAUACCGCAUACGACCUACGGGUGAAAGCGGGGGAUCUUCGGACCUUGCGCGAUUGAAUGAGCCGAUGUCGGAUUAGCUAGUUGGCGGGGUAAAGGCCCACCAAGGCGACGAUCCGUAGCUGGUCUGAGAGGAUGAUCAGCCACACUGGAACUGAGACACGGUCCAGACUCCUACGGGAGGCAGCAGUGGGGAAUAUUGGACAAUGGGCGCAAGCCUGAUCCAGCCAUACCGCGUGGGUGAAGAAGGCCUUCGGGUUGUAAAGCCCUUUUGUUGGGAAAGAAAAGCAGCAGGUUAAUACCCCGCUGUUCUGACGGUACCCAAAGAAUAAGCACCGGCUAACUUCGUG